CUUCCAAUUCUGACCUUCCUUUUUGUUUGCUAGUUUAGAACUUGGACAUAAACUGAAACGAUCAAUAUGUACACUACAGGCCUUGACACGGCAUAUUUUUGUCAUCAAAGUAUACAUAAAGAUCCUGAUCAUUUCUUUUAAAGAGAAAAACGAUAAAUUGCUAAAGCAUAUACCCAUCUUUAGAUGAUAACUUGGGAAAC
This 200-nucleotide long non-coding RNA is filed under the name Elaeis guineensis (African oil palm). RNAcentral's name for it is "long non-coding RNA (EGUI_LNC019245)". Lineage: Eukaryota; Viridiplantae; Streptophyta; Magnoliopsida; Arecales; Arecaceae. The record is from RNAcentral.